This 467-nucleotide ribosomal RNA is filed under the name Corynebacterium sp. 'ARUP UnID 254'. RNAcentral's name for it is "bacterial SSU rRNA". It matches the Rfam family "Bacterial small subunit ribosomal RNA", at positions 27 to 506 of the family's 1533-position model. RNAcentral also lists the same sequence under 2 other names. Lineage: Bacteria; Bacillati; Actinomycetota; Actinomycetes; Mycobacteriales; Corynebacteriaceae. The record is from RNAcentral.
GGACGAACGCUGGCGGCGUGCUUAACACAUGCAAGUCGAACGGAAAGGCCCUGCUUGCAGGGUACUCGAGUGGCGAACGGGUGAGUAACACGUGGGUGAUCUGCCUUGCACUUCGGGAUAAGCCUGGGAAACUGGGUCUAAUACCGGAUAGGACCAUGCUUUAGUGUGUGUGGUGGAAAGUUUUUCGGUGCAAGAUGAGCCCGCGGCCUAUCAGCUUGUUGGUGGGGUAAUGGCCUACCAAGGCGACGACGGGUAGCCGGCCUGAGAGGGUGUACGGCCACAUUGGGACUGAGACACGGCCCAGACUCCUACGGGAGGCAGCAGUGGGGAAUAUUGCACAAUGGGCGCAAGCCUGAUGCAGCGACGCCGCGUGGGGGAUGAAGGCCUUCGGGUUGUAAACUCCUUUCGCUAGGGAAGAAGCCACUUGUGGUGACGGUACCUGGAUAAGAAGCACCGGCUAACUACGU